Molecule: long non-coding RNA, 311 nt
Organism: Eupeodes corollae
Lineage: Eukaryota; Metazoa; Arthropoda; Insecta; Diptera; Syrphidae
Exons: 2
Source: RefSeq, a predicted model, not a curated record
AUCUUUUUAAGUGUGAAGAAGCUUUAAAGGCACAGUAUUGACAUUUGUGGUGUUUAAGGUCUAGAAAGACAAUUCUUACUCUAAAUAUCUUAUCUUUUUAGCAACAUACAAAAACAAUAAACAGCUGGUGUCGUGGAAGCUAUUAAGUAGCUUUACCACUGGCUGGUUACGUUAACAAGUAGUCGCGUGCAUAGUCUGUGUCGUGGUCGUUAGUAUGGCGAUCAAUAGUCUACGAAGAAAAUGCUCUUCAACAUCUGUUUAAAAUGCAGUUGCAGUAGCAGCAGCAACACAAUAACAACAACAAAAACGAA